Molecule: ribosomal RNA, 253 nt
Filed under: uncultured bacterium
Lineage: Bacteria
Description: partial 16S ribosomal RNA
Rfam family: Bacterial small subunit ribosomal RNA
Source: RNAcentral
UACGUAGGGUGCAAGCGUUGUCCGGAAUUAUUGGGCGUAAAGAGCUCGUAGGCGGUUUGUCGCGUCGAAUGUGAAAACCCGGGGCUCAACCCCGGGCCUGCAUUCGAUACGGGCAGACUAGAGUUCGGUAGGGGAGUCUGGAAUUCCUGGUGUAGCGGUGAAAUGCGCAGAUAUCGGGAAGAACACCCGUGGCGAAGGCGGCUCUCUGGGACGGUACUGACGCUGAGACGCGAAAGCGUGGGGAGCGAACAGG